Long non-coding RNA from Erinaceus europaeus (western European hedgehog), 3093 nucleotides. RefSeq lists it as uncharacterized. NCBI's taxonomy places the organism in Eukaryota, Metazoa, Chordata, Mammalia, Eulipotyphla, Erinaceidae. The transcript is spliced from 3 exons. The record is from RefSeq and is a predicted model, not a curated record.
CUUCAGAGCCUCAGGCAUCUAGCCAAGCCGUUACUCUUCCUUUUCUUAACACUCUGAAAAAUUGUCUUACAAAACAAAUACCGUUCACAUAAUAUCUCAUUAUCUCUCUUUCUCUCCCUCUCUCUCCCUUUCAGCCUCUAGAUGAAUCAAAACACUCUUAAAUAAAGGGAGAGGAGGAGAUGGUGCAGGAAUCUGCACAGGAGGGGCUGAGGAUGGAACAGGAAGAUGAAGUCAACCAGCCCCGACCUCUUGGCUGGAGCACCACUGAGACUAUUUCAGAUUGUCACAGCUGAGGGUAGUUUAGGGGAGGGGCCUGGAUCACAGCUGUUGCUUCUCAGAGGGGUUAAGUCACUGAUGUUCUAAAUGUUGCCCUUUCUCAAAAAAAUAUCAUACUGCAAUUCUGAGUAAGUUUUCAGAGGCACAGAAAAUCCAUGUUCUGUGCUCUAGUACUGACCAAUACAAGGCCAAAAUCUUUCAUUCUCCAUCUCUCUCUCUCUCUCUUUCUGUCUCUCUCUCUCUCUCUCUCUCUCCCUCCCUCUAUAUAAUUUUUUUCUUUAUUGCUAGCAGGGCUAAUACUGGAGUUCAGUACCUGCCUGAUGAACUCAGUCCUCCUGGUGCCCAGAAUUUCUCUUCUUUCCUUUUCUAUUUAUUCAUGAAUAUGACUAUUGGAUAUGGCAGAGAGGAGCCGAGACACUUUCCCCCUGCAGAUUCCAGGAUGGAGUCCCCAGGUGCUGGGGCUCAGGACUGUUUGCUGCCCCCAUGCCGCACCCCCUGCUCCAAGGUCCUGGAGCUGACAUUCAGCUCAGAGCCCGCCCUCCUUGCUCUCUGCAGUGUCCCUGUCCCAUGAGAGAGCAGUGAGUCCUCUCAGCACAGGUACAGCGAGGUGAAGCCUUCCCUCACCUAAGCAUUGUGUUUUCCUUAUGUCUGUGGAGUUUGAAGGUUGUGUAGCAGUGAUACCCACACCAGUGUCAAGAUUCCCAUCAAACAUGAAGCUUCCAGGACUCAGAAAUCGAGUGCUUUGAUUUUCAUGACUUCUGAUGUGAAACAUGCUCUCCAAGUGCAACAUGAGGUCAAACGCCUUUUGAAAUGUGACAUUCCUUCCACCCAGAUGACAUUCUAGUCUACUGACAGGAGGUCAGGACAACUAGGAACACGCCUCUGGGCCACAAACAUGGGGUCAGGAGGGCACCAGCCUGCAGCCUCCUGGAGGAUUUUCUGAAUAUCUGCUCAGGGCCAAAGCUGUAACAGAUUUUUCAAAUCGCCUCUGGACGCAGGAGCCAGGCUGGCAGGUGAGGGGUGGGGCUGUGAUUUCUGCUGGAGGCUCCUGCCACAGCCAGUGGAGGCACACAGCUUCCCUGCGUCUCUCAGUAGCAAGGGUCUGGCUCAGAGGCUUGGAAGCUCCUGGAUGCUCACACACAGCUACUUCUCAUCGGAGUGUCCUCUGUAACCCUGUCUGGGAAUCUCUAAGUGGGAUGCGUGGACCCCUGGACACCAUCUGUCCCCUGUGAGAGGCCACAGGAGCAACUUCCUUAGCAGAACCCAGCAGAGCCCUGCUCAGCCCUGCAUCGGUGAGCCAGGACCCAGAGAACUCCAGGUGACUUUUAUUUCAGAUGGAAAGAGAGACGGAGGGAAGAACUCGCAGCUCUGAAGCUUCCUCCUUCAGAGGCCGUGUCUUGCCGUCACCCAGCGGGCAUCUCACCUCCUCACAGGUCAGAAACCAGUUCUGUGCCCACCAUGCCCUGGAGUUCUGUUUGAUUUCCUUGUCUGAAAUAGUCUCUUGUUUUGUCAAGUCGGCAUUCAAAUCUUCAAUAAUCUUGACAGGUAGGAUGUAGGCGAGUAGGCAGAUAGGUAUGUGAUGCUUACAUACACAGAUGUAGGGAAUUCUUAAAAAGAAAAAAAAAUAUAUAUAUAUUUGUAAUGAGAGGGAAGUAAGGAGGGAGCAGGUGAGAGAGAGCAUGUGCGUCACUCUGGACCAUGUGGUGCCUGGCGUGGAACUCGCCUGCUAGAGGGCCCGGCACUGUAGCCGCUGUGCCACCUCCUGAGCCCCGUGGCCGUGAGGCGUCCGAGCGCACGGUUUGCACGGACAUUGUGCAGCUCUCAGCUGGGCCUCACGGGGGAGUGAUUAAGGUUUGCAAAGACCUUCAAACGAGUGCGCUGGAUAGAUUUCACCUGGGGGAGAAGCCCUGCUGACCAGAGGGGAAGGAGGAGAAAACACCUAGGAGACGCCGGGACGGGACAGACAGACAGAAGACGGUGGAGGAAGAGGGGACCGGCAUCUCCGCUUAGGACAACACAGUACGUGCUGUUUCCUGCAUCUGUGAAAUCUUUUGUAGAAAAACAGAGAUGGUGAAGCUGCCAUGGGGGAGGAGUGGGGGGGCUGUCAGCAGUCUCACAACGGCCUGGGCUUUCCACAGGGCAACCUUGGGCUCAGCGAGUCUGGAAUCUUUUGCCAUCACCCAGAAAACUCUGGGUCCCUGGGACACUUGACUGCAGUUUGCUCUUGGCCCAUCAUAUGCUCCUGAAUCCUUAAACCUUUCUCCUCAGAAAAGCUCUAAGAUCUGUCUCUCGGCUGCACUCAAGACCCAGGCGCCAGCUGCCGUGCCGGGUAGUCAGAGAGCCGGUGCCGAUCCCACAGGGCCCGGGACACAGGUCGAGCUUUAUCCCGGGACCUGCUUUCUGCCCUGUUCCAGCCUGUCCUUCCACCUCUGGGGCUGAAAACUAAAAUCAUUAAUCACUGUGGUUGUGUUCACGGCAGACUUUUUGUCCGAGAACUCAGGGAACAGCAGAGCUAGGAUUUUCCUCACUUUUAUUUUAUCUCUGCUUCCUGGUGUGUCACUCAGCCCGUCCCCUCCUGCCACUCUCAGCAGUCUGGAUGGCAGAGGAGGCUGGAGUCCAGCAGCAGAGGACAGAGGACGCCCUGCAGACUCCUGCAGUUUGUACUGGAAAGACAAAAACUCACCUCAGGGAAUCAGACCUGGAGAGGUUUCAUGGUUUGUGAGUUUCUCCUGUGGUUUAAGCAACAGGUUUCUAGGGGGCUCCCUCCUCCCAACCCCCUCCCCAUCUUUAUUUAAUGAGAGUUAAUGAAAAUAAAAC